CCUACGGGUGGCAGCAGUGGGGAAUAUUGCACAAUGGGGGGAACCCUGAUGCAGCGACGCCGCGUGAGUGAAGAAGUUAUUCGGUAUGUAAAGCUCUAUCAGCAGGGAAGAAAAGGACGGUACCUGAGUACGAAUCCCCGGCUCACUACUGUCCAGGCGCCGCAGUCAUACGUAGGGGGCAGGCGUGAUCCGGAUUUACUGGGUGUAAAGGGAGCGUAGACGGCAGUGCCAGUCCGGAGGUAAAGGCGGGGGCUCGAACCCCGGACUGCUCUGGAAACUGUACGGCUGGAGUGCAGGAGAGGUAAGUGGAAUGCCGAGUGUAGCGGUGAAAUGCGUAGAUAUUAGGAGGAACCCCAGUGGCGAAGGCGGCGUACUGGACGGUAACUGACGUUGAGGCUCGAAAGCGUGGGGAGCAAACAGGAUUAGAUACCCGUGUAGUC
RNAcentral lists this ribosomal RNA (440 nucleotides) under uncultured bacterium. RNAcentral describes it as "partial 16S ribosomal RNA". It matches the Rfam family "Bacterial small subunit ribosomal RNA", at positions 338 to 795 of the family's 1533-position model. The record is from RNAcentral.